UCAGCUCCCAGAUGGAUCCUGGACAGGAUGCUGCAGGUGGUGCAGGAGGGGAAUCCUGCCCCAUUUAUCAUCAACACAGUAAAAAGGGGUCGAAGAGACCGAGAGCGCCAGAGGACGCCAUGGGCUCCACAUCCACUUGGAUUCCAGGGAAGGCGGUACAUCUACGAAAGCCCUAAUCAUAGAGGGAAAGACUCCUCGUUCCUGGCCCAGAAAUGAGAUGAGAAAUCCAGGGCCCCGUACAGGAAGGCCUUUCGCAAAGUCCAGACUCAAUUGCCUUCGCAGCCCUUAAAGUUUCCUUAGGAAGGUCUGUGGGAGAACGAGGUUGGUUUAGGAAUUGGCCCCUGCCUUGUACUACGUAGUUUUGUCAUCCAAAGUGUUUUAGAAGUGAAUUGAAUCAUAGUUACGCCUUAUUUUGAAACACUGUAAUUCAGAGAACGUAAAACCUUAUUAAAAUGCCUCAUAAUCA
Long non-coding RNA from Homo sapiens (human), 466 nucleotides. Ensembl annotates it as long intergenic non-protein coding RNA 1556. The record is from Ensembl. Lineage: Eukaryota; Metazoa; Chordata; Mammalia; Primates; Hominidae.